This 6048-nucleotide long non-coding RNA is filed under the name Sus scrofa (pig). RNAcentral describes it as "lncRNA (ENSSSCG00035062135.1)". Lineage: Eukaryota; Metazoa; Chordata; Mammalia; Artiodactyla; Suidae. The record is from RNAcentral.
ACUAAGAGGAAAUAUGACAGCCAUGUCCAGAAAUAUAGGAAUACUCAUCACAUAAGAAAGACAUUCCUGAAGGUAAAUCAGGGUAAAAGUACCAGCCUUUUGAAUAUUAAUAAUUGUUAAGUGAACUGUGCAUGGUGCAUGUUAGUAGAGGUUUGGGGGAGAUAAAGAGACCGAACAAGGAGAAAGAUAAGACCAUGUAGUGGCAGUAGAACAUUCAAGCUUUGAAAGGUAUUCAUAGGGACAAAUACCUCAUAGCAUGAGAGGUCCAGAGGAUUAAGGCCUGGGAGUUACCAUCUACCUGGGGGGAGGGCAAACAAUUCCCAGGGAGAGAAGGAUUAAAGUCAGAGAGGAUGUUUAUGUUGUCUAGAUGUCAUCACUCAGCAGUUCAGUAGGGAGUCUGUGAGUCAGAAAGCUUCAACUUGGACUCUUUGUGUAUGGCUAGCAGAUGAUGGCUAUAGUUUUGUGGGGUAUGAAAAGCAGGCAGAUGCUAAAUGUCUAAAAACCUGCUUAUUUGGACUUUAAAACUGUUGCAUCUGUAAAAAAAAAAAAAUGAGUUAGCAUUGAUGAGCUUUUGAGCUAAUGGAUUUCAGCCUGCUGUGAAGAAAUAAACAACCUAGAGGUCAAUACACAGAGGCCAUCUUCAGCUAGUUUCUAUGACAAAACAAAGACUAUUUUACCUAUACUAUUUCAUUUAUUUUCAAGAAAGAUAGUUCUACUGCAGAAUUUAAACUAGAGGUUCCCCAAAAGUGAAUAAACUGAUUUGAAGUUAUUAUAGAGGAGGUUAAAGAUUAGAUUAAAUGUACUAUAAAACUCUACUCAGUUCGCCUGAAUUUAUCACAUGUGGUAGCAUAUGUCUCUAAAGCAAUCAAUCUAUCCUUACAAAUCAUAAACAUAAACACAAUUUCUCCACUAAAACAUUUUUAUCACAAAAAUGCCCUUAAUAUUGUCUUUUGAGUGAAGGACUUAGCAAAUCCUAGAUCUAUGUAAAUACAGGGGUAGAUGUGUGCACCUGCAUAUGUUGUAAACUUAUCAAACUGUUGACAUUAAACAGUUUGAACCAAAUUUAUUGGGAUAUUUUAAAAGUUUUAAUCUCAUCUGAUAUUGGUAAUCAAUAAUGUAUUGAUUACAAGCAAUAUCUAUUAACAUAAUAAUUAUUUAUUAGUGCCUUUCCCUAUUUUAUAUAUGUUAUAUUAGGGAUCCUGAUAGUGGAUAAUAAUAAUAAACGUAAUGCCCCUGAAAGUCUACUUGUUUCUUUUAAAAAUAACACAAAAAGUAAUAUAUAGACCUGUUACAUUAUAUACCUUAAAUGUGUUUAAGAUUAAAAUUAUAUAGAAGAUAUGCAGUGUUUUAUUUCCCACUUAGUGACUCCAAGAUAAAAUAUAUAAGUAUGUGAACCUGCAAUGUAAAAUAUGUGAUUAUAUUUUCAGUAAUAUUACUUCGUACAUUUCAAGGCAAUUGUAGUGUUUUUUUUCUUUUUUCUUUAGCAAUUGAAAUGUAAUGCUAUGGGAAUAGCCAUUAGUAUCCAACUUUACCAAAGUUUGUCAGAUUUUAAUAUUACUGAAAAAUGUGCAUUUCAGUGUGCACAUUAUAAAAAAACAUAUCUGAGAUUUCAGGUAUACUAGUAGUAACAAACUCCAUAUCGUAGCAGUUCCUACCUUGGUUAUAAAAGACACUUACUGUCUCACCCGUGGAUUUGACAUAAACAUUCUUUAGCCGUGAAUUAUCUUAAUGCCUGUAAGUUUGGCAGUGCAUUAGCUAAGGCUAAUGCCUUCUUUCACUCUUCUCCAGCGCAUAUUUUCUAACUAUGUCUAGCUAGAGGAGAAAAUAAGGUAGCUUACUUUGAAGGCAAUUGAAGCAAAAUUUGGCAGUAAAGAGAAAAAGGAAUAUAUAUGUAUAUAUAUAUAUAUCAUAUGAACAUAUGUAUUUAAAUAUACAUUAAAUGUAAUACACAUAAUAUACUUAAUAUAUAUUUAAAUUCAUAUACAUGUAUAGAUAUGUAUAAAAUGUCUAGUCUUACCAAAGAAAAAGUCUUAAACUCUAUAAAUUGACAAUACUCUAAUAAAAAUAUAAAUUAAGAAAAGAAAUACUGUUUUCAUUUCUUGAUUUCUGUAUAAUGAGAACAUAACUUUCCAGCUCGAAAGUUGUAGUUAAAAGUAAAACUUCAUAUCAAAGAGUAAUUAUCUUCACUAGUACUUAUUCAUUGAUUGUAAAGAAUUAUAUAGAUUUUUUUAAAUGACUUCAGUGUCUGUAAUGUAUGUGAUAUUGCUAUGCGCACAGUUAGUCUACUGGUUAGAGUUCUUUAGGCUGAACUAAUCAGAAAACCUAACUUUAGUGUUGGUGUACUCUGUCAGGUAAUAGAUUAUUUUAAUGACCCAGUUACUGUCAUUGUUUUUUCUGAUUCACCACUGUGGUGGUUUAGAGCUAAGCAUGAUGCCACUGGAAAUCACAAAAUGACUGCCGUCAGCAGCACCAGAGACUACUCAGCUGUCACCCACAGAGCAGAAAAGUCCCCCGCCCAGAGGUGCAACUCAAGCCCAGGAACUUGCUCUGAUUAAGUCAAUCGGGUGGCUAAAACAGUUACUCUGUGCAAGGAAUGAGAUUAUUAGGUUUGUUUUAGGCCAAUUAGAGCCCACAGCUGAUGGGAUUGAGUGAAUUAUGAUCAAGAAUUUAAACAUUAAGCAUCACCCAAAAGUAAAUAUGUUUCAUUACUUUACCCAGGUAAUAAAUUUAGCCUUUCUUCCUGUAAUUCUGUCCUAACAAGUUACUCUUAUUGUGAAGCUAUUCCUUGCAUAUAUGUUUGGUUCUUUAGGGUCAACUUUGAGCAAUGUUGAAACAGAAUUUUUCUAUUGCAAUACUAGCCCCAAACAAGGGUUUCUCUAACACUCCCUUUGGUUUAGUGAAGCCUCCAUAAUAUUCUGAUAGUCUCUAGAAAUAUUAACACAAACAAAUUAGGUGAGUGAACUCAGGCUGUUGCACUCUGGGGCUUUCAUAACUGCCACAUGGCUUUGAACAUGUUGCUAAAUCUCUGUGACCUUAUGUUGUUCAUUGAUAAAAUACAAAUGAUAAUACUAACCUUAGUGGAUUGUUGACUUUAUAUCCUAUUAUAUUUGAAAGCACAUUGCCUGCUACUCUGCAUCCAAUGAUUAUGACAAUCUCAUAACCUGUUGUUGGAAGCCUACAUCAUUAAACCUGUGUGUUGAAUACAGACAGGAUUAAGAUGGUGGAAUAGGACUGGAGCUCAACUUCUCUCCUAAAAAACAAAAUUCACAAAUAAAGACUGAGCAAUCUCCACCCAAAUGGAAUGGAAACCUUAAAAAAGAUACCCUACUCCAGAAGGAAAAGGCCACAUCAAGAGGUAGGAGGGGCGAUUUCAUGAUAUAAACAACCCCACACCAUUGGGGUGGGAAGCUCCACAGACUGAAAACUAACUGGUUCACAGAGACUCACCUACAGGAGUGAGAGUUCUGAGCCCCACAUCAAACCCUCACGUGCGGGGAUCUGGCACUGGGAGAAAAAGCCCCUGGAGCAUCUGGCAUUGAAGGCCAGUGGGGCUUGUGUGCAGGAGCUCCUCAGUACUGGGGGAAAUGGAGACUCCAUUCUUAAAAGGCACACACGGACUUUCACCUGCCCUGGGUCCCAGGGCAGAGCGAGGUCUCCAUAGGAGUCUGAGUCAAACCUGACUGCAGUUCUUGGAGGACAUCCUGGGAAAACAGGGGUGAAUGUGGCUUGUUGUGAGGGAAGGACAUUGAAGGUAAAGCUCUCGGGAAUUUUCAGCAGCUGCCUUUCUCUGGAGGUGGCCAUUUUGGGAAAAUCGGCCCCACCCAUCAGUCAGCACUGAUAAGCCCCGGGCCAAACAACAAUCCAGGUGGGAGUACAGCCCCACCUUCAGUAAACAGGCCGCCUAAAGACCCCUCAGGCACAUAGCUGCCUCUAAUCCCAUCCAGAGGCUAAACCCCACCCACCAGAGGGAUUAGAAUCAGCUCCACAAACCAGUGGGCAGGCAUCAGCCCCUCCCAUCAGGAACCCUACAGCAAGCCCCCCAUACCAAAUUCAGCCACAAGGGGGGCAGACAUCAGAAGUAAGAGAGGCUACAACUCUAGUAUCUGUAAAAAGGUUACCACACCAAAAACCUAUCAAAAUGAAAAGACAGAGAGCUAUAACUCAGAUGAGGGAGAAAGAAAAAACCCCAGAAAGUCAGCUAAGCAAUGAGGAGAUUCUUAGCCUCCAGGAAAAAGACUUUAGAUUGUUGAUGCUGAAGAUGAUGCAAGACAUUGGAAAUAAACUGGAGGCAAAGAUGGAUAACUUACAGGAAACACUGACCAAAGAGAUACAAGAUAUUAAAUUUAAAAAAGAAGUGAUGCAAAAUACAAUAACUGAAAUAAAAAAAACUCACUAGAAGCAGCUAACAGCAGAAUACAGGAGGCAGAAGAAGGAAUAAGCGAGGUGGAGGACAGAUUAGUAGGAAUUACAGAUGCAGAACAGAAAAGAGAAAAAAGAUUGAAAACAAAUGAAGAGAGUCUUAGAGAACUCUGGGACAAUGUUAAUUGCACCAACAUCCAUAUCAUAGGGGUGCCAGAAGGAGAAGAGAGAGAGAUGGGGACAGAAAAAAUAUUCCAAGAGAUUAUAGCCGAAAACUUGCCUAACAUGGGAAAGGAACCACUCACUCAAAUCCAGGAAGCACACAAGUACCAUAUAAUAUAAACCCAAGGAGGAACACCCCGAGCCACAUAUUAAUCAAACUAACCAAAAUUAAAGACAAAGAGAAAAUCUUGAAAGCAGCUAGGGAAAAGAAACAAGUAACAUACAAGGGAACCCCAAUAAGGUUAUCACCAGAUUUUUCAGCAGAAACUCUGCAGGCCAGAAGGGAGUGGCAUGAUAUACUUAAUGUGAUGAAAGGAAAAAACCUCCAACCAAGAUUACUUUACCCAGCAAGGCUCUCAUUUAGAUUUGAAGGAGAAAGCAAAACCUUUACAGAUAAGCAAAAGCUGAGAGAAUUCAGCAACACUAAACCAGCCUGACAACAACUACUAAAGGAACUUCUCUAGGCAGAAAAGAAAAGCCCGCAACAGGGAACAAAAAUGCCACAAAUGACAAGACUCUCCAGUAAAGGUAUAUAUACAGUAAAGAUACAGAAUCAUCCAUGCACAAUUAUACCACCAAAAUCAAAAAUCAUGAGAAGAGGUGGGUACAAAUGCAGGACACUGGAGAUGUACUUGCAAUUAAGAGAACAGCAACUUAAAACAACCUCAUAUACAUAUAGACUCUUAUAUCAAAACUUCAGAAUAACUGCAAACCAAAAAUCUACAACUGAUACACAAACAAGGAAUCUCUGGAGAAAAAAUGUAUCUUAUAGUAAAUAAGUGCAUAAUCCAACCAUAAAGGAGGUCAUUUGACAUCAUUCUUGGAAUGCUGAAGUCUUCUUAGAUCUGAUUCUGAUUUCCUCUCCAUCAAAGAAUUUAUGAUAACUAUAAUUAAAUAAUGCCACUGUACAAUUAAAUAAUACAGUUCUACGGUUGCAUUAAUAAUAACCAUUUCUCUGCAUGGUACAAUGGAAGGUCUAUAAUGUCUUGUUUAUCACAUGACCUAGAAUGGUGUAAUGCCUGUAUUGAAGAAUCAAUAAGAUGUAACAAAUUGUGAGGAUAUAUUUAUGCAGUAACACUGUUUUUUAACCAUUUUAUGCAUUUUAUAUUUUACUUAUUUUCAGAGGGUGUAUUAUUUUUGUUAUUCUUACCAAUUAAGUUUUUUUUAUUAUGCUAUAUAAAAUAUUUAAUGGUAUAUAAGGCUUUCUUCUUUAUAAAUUUUAGUUGCAUAAUAUAAUGAUUUUAAUAUAAUGCUAAUUGUUAAAGAAAAAUUUAAAUGUAAUAGAUAAUACUAAAUAGUAAGGAUGAAAGCCAUACAAAAUAUGAUAAAGUAUAGAAUAAAUUUCCAAUUUGUCUCAGCAUAUUUUCCAUUCCACUUCUCCAGAGGGAGUCACUUAAUCUGUUUCUUAAGAUCCAUGAUAUAAUAAUCUGUGAAUGUAAUUAUGUUUAAAUGUAUCUAUUUUAUUCU